Molecule: long non-coding RNA, 388 nt
Organism: Homo sapiens (human)
Lineage: Eukaryota; Metazoa; Chordata; Mammalia; Primates; Hominidae
Source: Ensembl
AAAGGGGCACAUCUUGCCAAGGUGUGCCCAAGGGGCAGGUUGGGUUGCUGUGAUGAUGGGUACACAGGGCCCUGCACACGGCUUUCCAGUCGGAGCUGCAAAAGGAGACACAAAAAUCACAGCUCAUUCCAAGAGGUGCCUGCAGCCAGCAGCACCCAGCAGCAUUGUCACCACUGCAAGCAGCCACUGACAGCCGACCUGAGAAUGAACAUGAGGGCCAGGGAGGAGGCAGCUCAGCCUGCAGCGUCAGCAGCGCAGUUCGGCAGAGCCUGCUAAUCGUCUUGCUCAAGUUUCAAACUCUGUUUACCAAAUGACCACAGAAGCGUUUUAACAACAAACACCUCAUUUGAAGGCCAAGAUGAAAAAUUUUACAUAAAAAAUUAAUUUU